CGGAGGUGCAAGUGAAGGAGCAGGACGGAGGAGUGGUGGACAAGGCCACCAUGGCCGCCUUUGACACAGCGCCUGCAUCUUCAUCCACUGCCUCUCUGCCAUGUGUCUUCUGAUUACCACAAUAACACAAUUUCCUUAUUCAUGCUUUACGGAUUCUUGCUGGAGGAGAUGAACUUUUAUGAGGAGCUGUUCAAGGCCAAGGUUUUCCUUGUGAGAAUGCCAUAAUUACAAGAAAAGAUUGCCUGAAAGGUCUUUAUGGAGAUGCACUCACUCGGUUAGAGGGCCUGUCGAGGCUAGCGUGAGGUCUGCUAUGGCAUCGAUGAUGUAGGUGUCAUGACUGUGAGGACUGCUCACACUUCUCCGCUCACAAACCGUGUGGCAGAGUAAAUACUCCGGUCCACGACAAUUAGACCUUCCUCCCUCCU
Long non-coding RNA from Triticum dicoccoides, 425 nucleotides. RefSeq lists it as uncharacterized. The record is from RefSeq and is a predicted model, not a curated record. The transcript has 5 exons. NCBI's taxonomy places the organism in Eukaryota, Viridiplantae, Streptophyta, Magnoliopsida, Poales, Poaceae.